AACAGAGUAGCAGCAGGUGCCUGAGAAGAACACCAACACUCCUUGGGGUGCUGUGGAGAGCAAGAGCUGGCAGGAGAGAGCCUCGCCUGAGCUGUUGCUUCAGAAACUCCCUGCCUAGGAUGCUGCCAGCAGGCAGCUGAGGAGGGAUGCAGCAUUCCAGUGUGGCCCCUGAGGUCUCUUGGUCACUUCUUGACAAAUAAAGUCUCCUAAAGACAGCUGAGGAAGAGUCCCAUUGGUGAGGACCAGCUGGGACCGCUGCUGUGAAGAGCCUGCCCUGGGCAGCGACGCAGGCUGCAGAGAUCCAGCAGAACUCCUGUCUGCCUGAGAUGAUAUUCCAACGUUUGAGGGCUGUGCUCUAGCAUCGAAGAGAUUUCACUUCUCCCAAAGACAUCCUCUGCUCCCUUCUGUGCUCAGCCACCUCAGCAGCAGGACUGGAGUUGGAGUGGAGACUGUGGUGAGGUGCAGCAGUGGCUGAGCCAUGCCAGGCUUUGCAGGGGCCCUGCAGCAAGAGCUCCUUUUGAAUGAUUUUUGUCAGCCUUCCACGAACCUUCUUAAACCCUGGCUCACGGCAGACACAAAGGCUCAGCAUUUCCUGUGCCGUGGAAGAAGUUUGCAAUCAUUUUCUGUAAUCCAAGCAGGCUUAUUUAGCUCUGCUGUUAUGGGAAGGGUUCUGCAAUAAUAAUGCCACUAUUAUAAUACUAUUCCUGUAAUAAUAGCACUUCUGUUAG
Long non-coding RNA from Pogoniulus pusillus (Red-fronted tinkerbird), 728 nucleotides. RefSeq lists it as uncharacterized. Lineage: Eukaryota; Metazoa; Chordata; Aves; Piciformes; Lybiidae. The record is from RefSeq and is a predicted model, not a curated record. The transcript has 3 exons.